Molecule: long non-coding RNA, 2893 nt
Organism: Bos taurus (domestic cattle)
Lineage: Eukaryota; Metazoa; Chordata; Mammalia; Artiodactyla; Bovidae
Source: Ensembl
GUCCGCAUACACACUCACGCCCCGGGGGCGCGGCCGCCACGUGGGGAGUGGCGCGGGGGUGGUACUGGGACCGCACCCCCUCUCGUCCUGGCUGCGUGGGCCCGCUUUCCCCGGUCUCUGGAGACUCCGAGCCCGGCGGGUCCCACGCUCCACGCGAGCAGAAUUCCCGCAGGUCUCCCGCCCGGGUGGCCAGAGGCGGUGGCGGGGAUGGCGGGCUCCGGGAGGCGCUCCGGCUCCGAGAAGCCGCUUAGCCCCGCGCUCCUCCCUCCGCAGUGCCGCCGCCGGCGGGCCGGGAUUCCCGCGGGUCUCGGCGGCCGCGAGCUGCAGGCGGCGCGGGUCCCCGGCUCGGUUGGUCACCUUGCCCGCCUCGCCUCCCACGGCUUCCAGCGGGCGCGGAGCUCUCCUCUGCGCGCCUCCCCGGCCCGUCUCGGUUUCCCUUCUUCGUCCUCUAGACCAUCCAGCGCAACUCCGUCGACCUCCGCGGCCCUGAGAGAGCAUCCGGCGCGGGCAGAGGCGUACCGGCCCGACCUCACGCCUCUCAUGGACUCUUCUCCAGGGUACCAUGGCCCAGGGAGUUCCUAGAAAACAGAAGGGACCCAGAAUCCUGACCUCGCCUUCUGUGGGACAGCAUGAGAUGUGGAGAUUGUGAGCUUGGAGAUCCAGCAUCUUUGUGAUCCUGGGAAAGUCCUUUGCCCUCUCUGGCCUGUUUCCUCCUGUGCAAAGGAAAGCAGUGGGCUUCACUGGUCCCCAGGAUUCCUUCACACUGAUUUCCCCACUGCGCCCCCCCACCUCGUCCCCCAACUCUGAGCCUUGCAGCAUCUUCUCAUCUUGAUCCUCUCCUGCCAUUUUUAGCCUCUGGGCAGAGACUCUGGCCAUGGUGCUGAAGAAGCCACAGCUUCUACAGCGGCUUGGAGACGAGCAAGGUAGCCAUCUAAGGAUUUGCGAGGGCAGAGGAAACUACCUGAAUUGAGCACCUACUAUGUGCCAGUCUCUUUGCCAUUCCUGUCGCGUGCUUUGUCACCUUGACUGAUGGAAGUAUACCCUUGGAGGAAGAGAUCUUCAGGGGGAAACAGUUUCAGGAGCUGUGGGUCCCAUACCUUCCAGGGAGCAGAAAGCUAUUCUCUUGACUUUGGAUUUCAAGUAGCCAUGGUUCCCAGAGAUGGUCCUGGGACAAUUAAGGGCAGCUGAGAAAACAGUGACAUGCAGAAAUGGUUGAUAAAGCUGUGAAGGAACGUCUGUUGGCAUUGGUUCUGAGCCUGCGGCCAGAGAUGAAUGAUUGAAACGCCAGGCUUGUUAAAGCGAGAGCACGUUUGAUUUCUCUGCCCUGCACUGCAUGCGAUUUCGCUGGAGGGAAGUUAGCAAUCAGCUAAUUGACAUUGAAUUAACCAUGAAACUCAGCCUGUGCCUUCUCUCUGAAUCGCUCUCCAGCAAGACUUUAUCAAGGCUUUGAAUUAUUGAUUAUUACUUAUAGCUCUGAUGGGAUGAGAAACUGAGUCUCCAGGGAGUUAAGUGACUCACCCAAGACCCUCGGAGCUGGGAUUCACGCCUGGAUCUGCUUGGCCCUUUCUGCUGUAUCACGUGGCUCUCCCAGACACUGGACAGGAUCUUUUAUGACUCUUGACGACACAAUGGAUGGUAUGAGGGCACAGAAGGGGCGCCCAUCUGAAGGACAACCAUGGGAUGUUCUUAUAAGUGGGAACAGGUCAGUCUGUAAAGGUCUUUAGAGGCUGCUGUGGGGCUCUGCCUGCUCCCCAGUUCUGACCAGUAUAUGCCAAGGACCAGAAGAAGAUGCAGAGCGUGCAGGCCUUUAACAGUAGGAGGUAGGGAGGACAGAGAAAAAGGACAGAGAAAAGCUCAGAUAGCAGGAUCAGGGUCUAGAGAGAUGUCAACAGACUGGGGUGAAGAGGUGAACUUAGCAGGAUGAAAUGUCAUGGGGAUAAAUGCUGGGGCCCAUCUUGCCGACAGGAAAAAAAAUUGUAGAGAGGAAUAGCAGUUUAUGAGAAAGGGAUUUAGGAGUUCAGGGGUCAGUAGGUUCCGUAUGAGUCAGUGGGCUACAUUAAUAGAGGUAUGGGGUUUGAGUCAGGGGAGGUGACCACCAGUCUGAUCCAGCCUGCUCUUUGUCUUGGGGCAGUCUCUCUUGGGUAUAUCUGAAGGUCAUGUGCUGGUAUCUGCUUUUUCAGUUCUUCUCCUUUUUUUGAGGGGGUAGGGAUAGAACCCUUCUGGAGUUCAAUCCUUGGAAUCCAGAGCAGCCCUCUAGAACGACACCUUUGAAAGUGGAAAAGAAGCUGCAGAUUUUCUGAACACUUUAUGAACAGCAAGUCCUGGGUCUGAUCUUUAUGCCAAACCUCCCUCGUUUGGCGAGAGGAAAGUUCUAGUCCCUGAAUAUUGUGGAACAGGGAGGGGUCCAGGUUUCCUUGGCUACUGGCCAGGUGUGUCCACUGCUUUUCCAGCUGCCUGCCUUCCUCCGUUCUUGGAGCCCUGAGCCCAGUGGUCAGCGGUUUGCCGGAGCCUGAUGGGGCUGGUUCCUCCCAUGCUGGAGGCGGGCAGGAACGAGAACCUUGUGGUUGCUCAUGUCAGGGCUGGAUCCCUGCUCAAGCUGGAGUGUCACCUGCCAAGCUGAAUUCGGCACAGGAAGCGCCUGGCGGGGAGAUGUACUGUUUAGAGGUUCUGUUCCACUCUGAAAUGCACUUCUUCUGGCAGCUGCAGUGAAGUGAAGCUGUUGCACUUCCUUCUCUCUUGCCAGAAUCACAGCCACUUUUUCCUGAGAAAGAAACAGGGCUGCAGACAGUUUGACUCAUUAAAUACUUCUUUUCCUCUUAAAUCUGAUUUUGUAAUUUUCUUUUUUUUUGCAUGAAUGGAAAAUCCAAACGAAUGAUAUUGAAAUAAACAAGGC